GGAGAGGUGGCAGAGUGGUCUAAUGUACCUGACUCGAAAUCAGGCGUGGGUUCAUAGCCCACCGAGGGUUCGAAUCCCUCCCUCUCCUCCA
RNAcentral lists this transfer RNA (91 nucleotides) under Variovorax dokdonensis. RNAcentral describes it as "tRNA-Ser". It matches the Rfam family "tRNA". From Rfam's summary of the family: Transfer RNA (tRNA) molecules are approximately 80 nucleotides in length. Their secondary structure includes four short double-helical elements and three loops (D, anti-codon, and T loops). Further hydrogen bonds mediate the characteristic L-shaped molecular structure. tRNAs have two regions of fundamental functional importance: the anti-codon, which is responsible for specific mRNA codon recognition, and the 3' end, to which the tRNAs corresponding amino acid is attached (by aminoacyl-tRNA synthetases). tRNAs cope with the degeneracy of the genetic code in two manners: having more than one tRNA (with a specific anti-codon) for a particular amino acid; and 'wobble' base-pairing, i.e. permitting non-standard base-pairing at the 3rd anti-codon position. RNAcentral also lists the same sequence under 11 other names. Lineage: Bacteria; Pseudomonadati; Pseudomonadota; Betaproteobacteria; Burkholderiales; Comamonadaceae. The record is from RNAcentral.